CCUAGGGCUAGUGGAAGACUUAAGAUGGCGGCGUUUGCACGGAGUGCAAUCACUGCGUCCUUACGGGGGUUGCAAGGCGUCCGAAGUAUGAGUCCACUAACAAAAGUCCAGAAACUCGCCAGUUAAUAGUAUUGUGUCUCUUCAAAAUAUCGGAGAAUAAUUUCUUUCUCGCUGAUCGCCUAACUUCUACUGACGAAGCUUGGAAGUUGCAGAAGGUUGGAGUGCAAUGGCGCGAUCUCGGCUGACUGCAACCUCCACCUCCUGGAUUCAAGCUAUUCUCCUGCCUCAGCCUGCCGAGUAGCUGGGAUUACAGGCAUGUGCCACCGCACCCAGCUAAUUUUGUAUUUUUUAGUAGAGAUGGGGUUUCUCCAUGUUGGUCAGGCUGGUCUUGAACUCCUGACCUCAGGUGAUCCGCCCACCUCAGCCUCCCAAAGUGCUGGGAUUACAGGCGUGAGCCACCGCGCCCGGCCAGAACAUUAGUUUUAAACUUCCUAACCCUUGGGAGAAGGCAAAACACUUGAUGAAAUCUACAUAAAGACUAAAACAUUUUACCAAUUUUGCAUUGUUUGUUUGAAAUUGCAUUGACGACUGGAUGUUAAAAAUCAUGCAUGGCUGGGCAUGGUGGCUCACGCCUGUAAUCCCAGCACUUUGGGAGGCUGAGGCAGGUGAAUCACCUGAGGUCAGGAGUUUGAGACCAGCCUGGCCAACAUGGUGAAACCCUGGCUCUACUAAAAAU
This 736-nucleotide long non-coding RNA is filed under the name Homo sapiens (human). RNAcentral describes it as "HSALNT0408069". The stretch from base 3 to 137 matches the Rfam family "JPX transcript, XIST activator conserved region 1". Lineage: Eukaryota; Metazoa; Chordata; Mammalia; Primates; Hominidae. The record is from RNAcentral.